This 957-nucleotide long non-coding RNA is filed under the name Struthio camelus australis. RNAcentral's name for it is "lncRNA (ENSSCUG00000009703.1)". The record is from RNAcentral. Lineage: Eukaryota; Metazoa; Chordata; Aves; Struthioniformes; Struthionidae.
UGAAAGCUCUAAUAAUUUAAUUAGCUUUUUUUUUUUUAAACAACAGCUAUUGAUCAAGGCUGUCAGCUGCUGUCAGAGGCAGAGUCCUUCCUAUUCACUGUCUCUAUCGACAAAGGAGGAGGAGGAGGAGGAGGAAGAGGAAGAGAGAAUACAGUGUUUCUUCCCAGCUGACUGAUAUGCCUCUGAUAUGCUCUGGAAGUCCACCAGGUGAAGGCUGGUGGUGACUUUCUCGCUGAGAAUGACAGCACUUCAUCAGUGGAGCAGCCCUGGCUCUCAGGAAAUCCACCAUCUGCUUACUUCUCCACUUUUUAAGGAACAGAAAAUCUGAAAACCAAAUAGUAACAAGAAAAAAAAAGAAAAAGAAAAGCCCAGACUGUCAUCGACAGACUGGAGCAGCGACCAUUUUCCACUUGUGUGCAUGAAACACAUCGACACAAGCUCCUGAACAAGGUUUACUGAUACUUUUGAGCAGCUGUGAAUCAAGUCAGUAGCACCACCGUGCUUCUCCACGAGCCAUCACGGACUUGGGAGCCAGCUAGCGUGAGGUUUGAUGGCAGGUGACUUUUGUGUUUAUGAAGAAUCCGAAAAAUACCUGGAUUCAGAUCUCAUCUUCCUUCACAGACUGAAUAACAUACUAUUCAAAAUCCUGAUGGAAACAUGACUUGAGGCCAAGCUUCUAGUAUAAUUUCAUUAACCUUCUUUCAAGACACUGGAAAUUAAAAAAAAAGUCUGCACAGAAAAUGAGCUGGCACCUUUCAUACUCAGAAUUAGAAUUAGAGUGAAUUAGUGGCAUUACAGUCUGGAUAUCAUUCUCCAGUACCAGUGCAGAUACCUGGAGAGAAGUCAAGAGCUGUACCACUAAAGAGCAUAUUAAACUAAGAUCAACGUGGAGAGUCAGGCAUUUGAUCUGCAGCAUCUCUUUAAAAAAGAAGAAGAAAGUGUUCACAUAAGAGUCAA